Molecule: RNase P RNA, 353 nt
Filed under: Firmicutes bacterium HGW-Firmicutes-1
Lineage: Bacteria; Bacillati; Bacillota
Description: RNase P RNA component class A
Rfam family: Bacterial RNase P class A
About the family: Ribonuclease P (RNase P) is a ubiquitous endoribonuclease, found in archaea, bacteria and eukarya as well as chloroplasts and mitochondria. Its best characterised activity is the generation of mature 5'-ends of tRNAs by cleaving the 5'-leader elements of precursor-tRNAs.
Source: RNAcentral
UGAGUAAGCUAGACGAUCGCACCUAGAAUGCCUAAAGGUCCUAGGUGAGGAAAGUCCGAGCUCCAUAGGGCAGGAUGCCAGAUAACGUCUGGUGGAGGCAACUUCAAGGACAGUGCAACAGAGAUAAACCGCCAAAUCUAUUGAUUUGGUAAGGGUGGAAAGGCGAGGUAAGAGCUCACCGCCUCUUUGGUAACAAAGAGGGCAUAUGUAAACCCCAUCCGGAGCAAGACCGUACAAGAAGCUAUACGGCUGCCCGCCGUGCUUCUGGGUAGGUUGCUAGAGCUUGCUGGCGACAGUAAGCGAAGAGAGAUGAUCGUCCACGACAGAACUCGGCUUAUCGGCUUGCUCAUUGC